UACGAAGGGGGCUAGCGUUGUUCGGAAUUACUGGGCGUAAAGCGCACGUAGGCGGAUAUUUAAGUCAGGGGUGAAAUCCCGGGGCUCAACCCCGGAACGGCCUUUUGAUACUGGAUGUCUUUGAGUCCGGAAGAGGUGAGUGGAAUUGCGAGUGUAGAGGUGAAAUUCGUAGAUAUUCGCAGGAACACCAGUGGCGAAGGCGGCUCACUGCCCCGGUACUGACGCUGAUGUGCGAAA
This 237-nucleotide ribosomal RNA is filed under the name uncultured bacterium. Its description in RNAcentral is "partial 16S ribosomal RNA". It matches the Rfam family "Bacterial small subunit ribosomal RNA", at positions 524 to 758 of the family's 1533-position model. The record is from RNAcentral.